CCUAAUGACACCUCAAGAAACAAUUUCAGGGAGGAACUAUUAUUAGCCCUUUUUGCAAAAAAGGAAACUGAGCUUACAGAAGUUAAAUAACAGGUCUAAGGUCACAGAGUUACUGAGGGGCAACUGGAGACUUGGAGCCACUCAGCUGACCCUAGAGCCAGUGUCACGAUCACUGCACGUCUUACUCCCAACGCAGGGGCUCACCCUAAGGCUGGGCUGGACCGGAACAAGUAGUCAGGAAAGAAUAUACACACAAGAUCUACAUUUGAAACUCUACAAGCUGACGAGAAGGAGGGAGGAAAAGUGGAAAGGAAAAAAGAAAGCAAGUGACCGGCACAUCCCACAGAACUCUUAAUUUUCAGCAGUUUCCAAUGUAUCUUCUGGAUUCAACAUAGAUUUCAAGGAUUUAUGUACGGAGCUAUAUAUGUUGCACUGCUUGCCCUCCUCUUGGAAACCACGCUCUCCAUUCUUACUGGAUCCUAAUCGUCUCACCUUCUCAACAGAACCAUUCCAGUGACGGUUUACUACACGUUUUCAGUCACUUUUCCUCUCUGCUACGUUAUUCUCAGCAGCAUUUAAAAAAUGCACUAUCAUACACAAAAGAAAAGGAGGGAUGGAUGGAAAAGAGCGUUAGGGCCAAAGGAGGGA
Molecule: long non-coding RNA, 648 nt
Organism: Fukomys damarensis (Damara mole-rat)
Lineage: Eukaryota; Metazoa; Chordata; Mammalia; Rodentia; Bathyergidae
Exons: 3
Source: RefSeq, a predicted model, not a curated record